Molecule: ribosomal RNA, 400 nt
Filed under: uncultured bacterium
Lineage: Bacteria
Description: bacterial SSU rRNA
Rfam family: Bacterial small subunit ribosomal RNA
Source: RNAcentral
GGGGAAUCUUAGACAAUGGGGGAAACCCUGAUCUAGCCAUGCCGCGUGAGCGAUGAAGGCCUUGGGGUUGUAAAGCUCUUUCAGCUGGGAAGAUAAUGACGGUACCAGCAGAAGAAGCCCCGGCUGACUCCGUGCCAGCAGCCGCGGUAAUACGGAGGGGGCUAGCGUUGUUCGGAAUUACUGGGCGUAAAGCGCACGUAGGCGGACCAGAAAGUUGGGGGUGAAAUCCCGGGGCUCAACCCCGGAACUGCCUUCAAAACUCCUGGUCUUGAGGUCGAGAGAGGUGAGUGGAAUUCCGAGUGUAGAGGUGAAAUUCGUAGAUAUUCGGAGGAACACCAGUGGCGAAGGCGGCUCACUGGCUCGAUACUGACGCUGAGGUGCGAAAGCGUGGGGAGCAAAC